AAGUCGUAACAAGGUUUCCGUAGGUGAACCUGCGGAAGGAUCAUUAUCGAGUUUUGAACGGGUUGUCUGCUGGCUCGCAAGGGCAUGUGCACGCCUGUCUCAUCCACUCUCAACUUCUGUGCACUUUUCAUAGGCCGGCUUGUGGGUGCGUUCGCGCACUUGUAGGUGUCGGGUUUAUGCUUUACUACAAACGAUUCAGUUUUAGAAUGUCAUACUUUGCUAUAACGCAAUUUAUAUACAACUUUCAGCAACGGAUCUCUUGGCUCUC
Molecule: unclassified non-coding RNA, 268 nt
Filed under: Bjerkandera adusta
Lineage: Eukaryota; Fungi; Basidiomycota; Agaricomycetes; Polyporales; Phanerochaetaceae
Description: partial internal transcribed spacer region
Rfam family: Eukaryotic small subunit ribosomal RNA (bases 1-46)
Source: RNAcentral